AUUGAACGCUGGCGGCAUGAUUUACACAUGCAAGUCGAACGGUAACAGGCCGCAAGGUGCCGACGAGUGGCGAACGGGUGAGUAAUGCAUCGGAACGUGCCCAGUCGUGGGGGAUAACUACUCGAAAGAGUAGCUAAUACCGCAUACGAUCUAUGGAUGAAAGCGGGGGACCGUAAGGCCUCGCGCGAUUGGAGCGGCCGAUGUCAGAUUAGGUAGUUGGUGGGGUAAAGGCUCACCAAGCCAACGAUCUGUAGCUGGUCUGAGAGGACGACCAGCCACACUGGGACUGAGACACGGCCCAGACUCCUACGGGAGGCAGCAGUGGGGAAUUUUGGACAAUGGGCGCAAGCCUGAUCCAGCAAUGCCGCGUGCAGGAAGAAGGCCUUCGGGUUGUAAACUGCUUUUGUACGGAACGAAACGGCUCUGGUUAAUACCCGGGGCUAAUGACGGUACCGUAAGAAUAAGCACCGGCUAACUACGUG
RNAcentral lists this ribosomal RNA (482 nucleotides) under uncultured bacterium. RNAcentral describes it as "partial 16S ribosomal RNA". It matches the Rfam family "Bacterial small subunit ribosomal RNA", at positions 30 to 507 of the family's 1533-position model. The record is from RNAcentral.